GUGAAUCAUCGAAUCUUUGAACGCACAUUGCGCCCCUUGGUAUUCCGAGGGGCAUGCCUGUUCGAGCGUCAUUUCAAACCUCAAGCUUCUGCUUGGUAUUGAGCUUCUCCGCCUGCCCAGCAGGCGGUGCUCGAAACUCGUGGGCGGCGAAAGUCCAGCGUAGUAAGCGUAGUCAUAACAAAUUCCGCUCUCUGUCGCCUCUUUCUGCUCGCCAGAUAAACACUUUUUAUCAAGGUUUGACCUCGGAUCAGGUAGGAAUACCCGCUGAACUUAAGCAUAUCAAUAAGCGGAGGA
Molecule: unclassified non-coding RNA, 294 nt
Filed under: Tubeufiales sp.
Lineage: Eukaryota; Fungi; Ascomycota; Dothideomycetes; Tubeufiales
Description: partial contains 5.8S ribosomal RNA, internal transcribed spacer 2, and large subunit ribosomal RNA
Rfam family: 5.8S ribosomal RNA (bases 1-71)
Source: RNAcentral